UGGGGAAUAUUGCACAAUGGGCGCAAGCCCGAUGCAGCCAUGCCGCGUGUGUGAAGAAGGCCUUCGGGUUGUAAAGCACUUUCAGCGAGGAGGAAGGGUGGUGUGUUAAUAGCACAUUGCAUUGACGUUACUCGCAGAAGAAGCACCGGCUAACUCCGUGCCAGCAGCCGCGGUAAUACGGAGGGUGCAAGCGUUAAUCGGAAUUACUGGGCGUAAAGCGCACGCAGGCGGUUUGUUAAGUCAGAUGUGAAAUCCCCGCGCUUAACGUGGGAACUGCAUUUGAAACUGGCAAGCUAGAGUCUUGUAGAGGGGGGUAGAAUUCCAGGUGUAGCGGUGAAAUGCGUAGAGAUCUGGAGGAAUACCGGUGGCGAAGGCGGCCCCCUGGACAAAGACUGACGCUCAGGUGCGAAAGCGUGGGGAGCAAACA
RNAcentral lists this ribosomal RNA (427 nucleotides) under uncultured bacterium. Its description in RNAcentral is "partial 16S ribosomal RNA". It matches the Rfam family "Bacterial small subunit ribosomal RNA", at positions 355 to 774 of the family's 1533-position model. The record is from RNAcentral.